This is a long non-coding RNA of Onychostoma macrolepis, 918 nucleotides long. RefSeq lists it as uncharacterized. The record is from RefSeq and is a predicted model, not a curated record. The transcript has 6 exons. Lineage: Eukaryota; Metazoa; Chordata; Actinopteri; Cypriniformes; Cyprinidae.
AUAAUAAAUGCAGUUUUGGCGCUGUUUAAUGACUGCACGUGAACUGAUCGUAUCCUCCACAUUAAUACCAGUUUCAGCACAAAAUAAACAUGACUAAACAUCCGAAGCCGCACAGUACCGAGCUCCAGGGAUCGUAGACGUCACACACUCCCUGGAGCUCGGGGCCAGCUGUCAAUACGCAGAUGCUGGCCCCACAGGAACCCACACUGGCCCCAGCGGUGGAUGCAGGGAGCCAACCAGCGCACAGCUUUUGUGUAAUGAGACGGGGCCUUUCGCUGACAGUCCACCCCUGAGAAGUGACAUCACUUUGGCGGCAAUGGAUUUAAUGAAUUCUGAAGUGACCAAUCAACCGCAGAAGCAUUAGGAAGUGUUACCAAUGGAUUUGACACAUUCUGCCAGGUUGCAGAGGAACAAAGGCUGAUAAUGGGCCAGACAGUGAAGUGCUCUGCAAUUACACCAGCAGGACGUAAUUGACUGGGAGAAGAACAGACAAUGUCUGAUCAUCAGCGAGCAACAAAAGAGCAGCAGCUUGGACAGAGUUUCCUCUAACAGCUGUACCCUUGAUCCGAGCACGUAUCCUAUGAUACUAACGUCCAACAAAGACCCUCCUCGUGGCCAUCAGGAAUCCCCCUGUGGACGAGCCUGCGCUUUAUUCCGAGCUCCAGUUCUCCUCACGGGUCCCCAGGCACCGCCGGGGUCAUGGCUAACCCAGGCACGGUGUCAGCAAUUCAUCUGAGAUGCCACGAGUUCAUGAUACACCUCAGCUCAGGAGGAGAUCCGCACAUGAUGAGAGAAGUGUGGGGUCACGGAGUUCACAAUAACUAGAGACUCUGGCUGUCAGACUCCACACCGAAAACACGGAGGAACACACACUGUUUUCUAGCUGUACAACAGAGAUGCCAUGGACAUGUUGUUUUU